Molecule: ribosomal RNA, 382 nt
Filed under: uncultured eukaryote
Lineage: Eukaryota
Description: partial 18S ribosomal RNA
Rfam family: Eukaryotic small subunit ribosomal RNA
Source: RNAcentral
CAAUAGCGUAUAUUAAAGUUGUUGCAGUUAAAAAGCUCGUAGUUGGAUUUCUGGUUGAAGCGACCGGUCGGGCGUUGAUUCGUCUGCACUGGAGUCGGUUUUGGCCAUCCUCUAGGAAAGUGCGUCUGGUAUUAAGUUAUCGGGCGUAUGAUCCUGGUCUUUUACUGUGAAAAAAUUAGAGUGUUUAAAGCAGGCCUUCGCCUUGAAUACAUUAGCAUGGAAUAAUAAGAUAGGACUUUGGUCUAUUUUGUUGGUUUGCAGACCGAAGUAAUGAUUAAUAGGGAUAGUUUGGGGUAUUUAUAUUCCGAUGUCAGAGGUGAAAUUCUUAGAUUUUCGGAAGAUAAACUUAUGCGAAAGCAUUUACCAAGGAUGUUUUCAUUAA